CAAAGUGUAGUGUAAUAAAAACAUUUCGCUUACACCGAAAAAAUACCAGCGAAUAGACCUGGUCGCUUUGA
This 71-nucleotide transfer RNA is filed under the name Rhinatrema bivittatum (two-lined caecilian). RNAcentral describes it as "tRNA-Val". The record is from RNAcentral. Lineage: Eukaryota; Metazoa; Chordata; Amphibia; Gymnophiona; Rhinatrematidae.